Molecule: ribosomal RNA, 520 nt
Filed under: uncultured bacterium
Lineage: Bacteria
Description: bacterial SSU rRNA
Rfam family: Bacterial small subunit ribosomal RNA
Source: RNAcentral
AGAGUUUGAUCAUGGCUCAGGAUGAACGCUGGCGGCGUGCCUAACACAUGCAAGUCGAACGGAGAUUAGUUGGAACGGAGCACUUGUGCUCAGGGAAGAUUAAGUUUAGUGGCGGACGGGUGAGUAACACGUGAGCAACCUGCCUUGGUCAGGGGGAUAACAACGGGAAACCGUUGCUAAUACCGCAUGAUAUAUCUUUACGGCAUCGUACGGGAUAUCAAAGGAGCAAUCCGGACUGAGAUGGGCUCGCGUCCGAUUAGUUAGUUGGUGGGGUAAUGGCCCUACCAAGACCGCGAUCGGUAGCCGGACUGAGAGGUUGACCGGCCACAUUGGGACUGAGACACGGCCCAGACUCCUACGGGAGGCAGCAGUGGGGAAUAUUGGGCAAUGGGGGCAACCCUUCGACCCAGCGACGCCGCGUGAAGGACGAAGGCCUUCGGGUUGUAAACUUCUUUGAUCGAGGACGAUAAUGACGGUACUCGAGGAACAAGCCACCGGCUAACUACGUGCCAGCCGCUGC